GACUUCUGGUUUCAUGCACCUGGCCCGCGGCUCUUUAGGCUUGUGAGUGCCGGCGCGCGUUUACCUUCUGGGGAACGGGUCUACCCUUAACUGGGCCGGAUUCGGGAUCCAGAUCAUUUACUUUGAAAAAAUUAGAGUGUUUAAAGCAGGCUAUUGCUAUGAAUACAUUAGCAUGGAAUAAUAAUCUAGGACUUCGGUUCUAUUUUGUUGGUUUCGAGAACUGAAGUAAUGAUUGAUAGGGAUAGUUGGGGGUGCUAGUAUUGGCCGGUUAGAGGUGAAAUUCUUGGAUUCGGUCAAGACUAACUUAUGCGAAAGCAUU
RNAcentral lists this ribosomal RNA (319 nucleotides) under uncultured Rhogostoma. RNAcentral describes it as "SSU rRNA". The stretch from base 102 to 319 matches the Rfam family "Eukaryotic small subunit ribosomal RNA", at positions 736 to 955 of the family's 1831-position model. Lineage: Eukaryota; Cercozoa; Thecofilosea; Cryomonadida. The record is from RNAcentral.